RNAcentral lists this ribosomal RNA (1218 nucleotides) under metagenome. Its description in RNAcentral is "bacterial LSU rRNA". It matches the Rfam family "Bacterial large subunit ribosomal RNA", at positions 1715 to 2925 of the family's 2925-position model. The record is from RNAcentral.
GGGCAAAUUGGUACCGUAACUUCGGGAUAAGGUACGCCCCUGUAGCCUGACUGGCCUGCGCCGGAAGGGUGAAGGGGUUGCAAUAAACUGGUGGCUGCGACUGUUUAAUAAAAACACAGCACUCUGCAAACACGAAAGUGGACGUAUAGGGUGUGACGCCUGCCCGGUGCCGGAAGAUUAAAUGAUGGGGUGCAAGCUCUUGAUUGAAGUCCCGGUAAACGGCGGCCGUAACGAUAACGGUCCUAAGGUAGCGAAAUUCCUUGUCGGGUAAGUUCCGACCUGCACGAAUGGCGUAACGAUGGCCACACUGUCUCCUCCCGAGACUCAGCGAAGUUGAAGUGUUUGUGAUGAUGCAAUCUCCCCGCGGCUAGACGGAAAGACCCCAUGAACCUUUACUGCAGCUUUGCAUUGGACUUUGAACCGAUCUGUGUAGGAUAGGUGGGAGGCUGAGAAAUGUGGACGCCAGUCUGCAUGGAGCCGUCCUUGAAAUACCACCCUGGUUUGUUUGAGGUUCUAACCUUGGACCCUGAAGCGGGUUCGGGGACAGUGCAUGGCAGGCAGUUUGACUGGGGCGGUCUCCUCCCAAAGUGUAACGGAGGAGUACGAAGGUACGCUAGGUACGGUCGGAAAUCGUGCUGAUAGUGCAAUGGCAUAAGCGUGCUUGACUGUGAGACUGACAAGUCGAACAGGUGCGAAAGCAGGUCAUAGUGAUCCGGUGGUUCUGUAUGGAAGGGCCAUCGUUCAACGGAUAAAAGGUACUCUGGGGAUAACAGGCUGAUACCGCCCAAGAGUUCAUAUCGACGGCGGUGUUUGGCACCUCGAUGUCGGCUCAUCUCAUCCUGGGGCUGUAGCCGGUCCCAAGGGUAUGGCUGUUCGCCAUUUAAAGAGGUACGUGAGCUGGGUUUAAAACGUCGUGAGACAGUUUGGUCCCUAUCUGCCGUGGGCGUUGGAUAUUUGAAGGGGGCUGCUCCUAGUACGAGAGGACCGGAGUGGACGAACCUCUGGUGUACCGGUUGUCACGCCAGUGGCAUCGCCGGGUAGCUAUGUUCGGAAGAGAUAACCGCUGAAAGCAUCUAAGCGGGAAACUCGCCUUGAGAUGAGAUACCCCCGGGGCUUCGAGCCCCUUGAAGGGUCGUUCGAGACCAGGACGUUGAUAGGUCAGGUGUGGAAGCGCAGUAAUGCGUUAAGCUAACUGAUACUAAUUGCCCGUAAGGCUUG